Molecule: ribosomal RNA, 2368 nt
Filed under: Clostridium perfringens
Lineage: Bacteria; Bacillati; Bacillota; Clostridia; Eubacteriales; Clostridiaceae
Description: partial 23S ribosomal RNA
Rfam family: Bacterial large subunit ribosomal RNA
Source: RNAcentral
ACGAGACACGUGAAACCUUGUGGGAAGCAGGGAGGACCACCUCCCAAGGCUAAAUACUACCUGAUGACCGAUAGUGAAGCAGUACCGUGAGGGAAAGGUGAAAAGAACCCCGGGAGGGGAGUGAAAUAGAACCUGAAACCGUGUGCCUACAACCGCUCAGAGCCCCUUAUGAGGGUGAUGAGGUGCUUUUUGUAGAACGAGCCAACGAGUUACGGUAUGUAGCAAGGUUAAGUACUUAAGGUACGGAGCCGAAGGGAAACCGAGUCUGAAUAGGGCGACUAGUUGCAUGCCGUAGACCCGAAACCGGGUGACCUAUCCAUGGCCAGGUUGAAGCGAGGGUAAAACCUCGUGGAGGACCGAACCACGUUGCUGUUGAAAAAGCAUGGGAUGAGCUGUGGAUAGCGGAGAAAUUCCAAUCGAACCCGGAGAUAGCUGGUUCUCUCCGAAAUAGCUUUAGGGCUAGCGUCGAGUAUGAGUAGUGGAGGUAGAGCACUGAAUGGGCUAGGGGGCAUAGCGCUUACCGAACCUUAUCAAACUCCGAAUGCCACAUACUUUGAGCUCGGCAGUCAGACUACGAAUGAUAAGAUCCGUGGUCAAAAGGGAAACAGCCCAGAUCGUCAGCUAAGGUCCCAAAGUGUAAGUUAAGUGGGAAAGGAUGUGAGAUUUCUAAGACAACUAGGAUGUUGGCUUAGAAGCAGCCAUUCAUUAAAAGAGUGCGUAAUAGCUCACUAGUCGAGAGAUCUUGCGCCGAAAAUGUAACGGGGCUAAACUUACCACCGAAGCUACGGGCUUGAACUUAGUUCAAGCGGUAGGAGAGCGUCGUAACCGGGCUGAAGUCGUACCGUAAGGAGCGGUGGACUGGUUACGAGUGAGAAUGUUGGCAUCAGUAGCGAGAUGUGGGUGAGAAUCCCACAGGCCGAAAACCUAAGGUUUCCUCAGGAAGGUUCGUCCGCUGAGGGUUAGUCGGGACCUAAGCCGAGGCCGAAAGGCGUAGGUGAUGGACAACUGGUUGAUAUUCCAGUACCACUACCAUCGUUAUUAUCGAUGGCGUGACGCAGGAGGAUAGUGUGUGCUAGCUAUUGGAUGCUAGUCUAAGCGUUUAGGCAGUGAGAGUAGGCAAAUCCGCUCUCAUAAUGCUGAGGCGUGAUGGGGAAGGUUCUACGGAACCGAAGUACAUGAUUCCACGCUGCCAAGAAAAGCGUCUAGAGAGAGAAGUAGUGCCCGUACCGCAAACCGACACAGGUAGGUGAGGAGAGAAUCCUAAGGCCGGCGGAAGAAUUACAGUUAAGGAACUCGGCAAAUUGACCCCGUAAGUUCGCGAGAAGGGGUGCCUACGAGAGUAGGCCGCAGAGAAUAGGCCCAAGCAACUGUUUAGCAAAAACACAGGUCUCUGCUAAAGCGUAAGCUGAUGUAUAGGGGCUGACGCCUGCCCGGUGCUGGAAGGUUAAGGGGAACACUUAGCGCAAGCGAAGGUGUGAACUUAAGCCCCAGUAAACGGCGGCCGUAACUAUAACGGUCCUAAGGUAGCGAAAUUCCUUGUCAGGUAAGUUCUGACCCGCACGAAUGGCGUAAUGACUUGGGCACUGUCUCAACUGUAAAUCCGGCGAAGUUGUAGUGCGAGUGAAGAUGCUCGCUACCCGCGAUUGGACGGAAAGACCCCGUAGAGCUUUACUGUAGCUUAGCAUUGAGUUUUGGUAUUGUCUGUACAGGAUAGGUGGGAGACUAGGAAACCAGGGCGUCAGCCUUGGUGGAGUCAACCUUGGGAUACCACCCUGACAGUACUGAAAUUCUAACUGGCGGCCAUGAAUCUGGUCACAGGACAUUGUUAGGUGGGCAGUUUGACUGGGGCGGUCGCCUCCUAAAAAGUAACGGAGGCGCCCAAAGGUUCCCUCAGAACGGUCGGAAAUCGUUCGAAGAGUGCAAAGGCAGAAGGGAGCCUGACUGCGACACCCACAAGUGGAGCAGGGACGAAAGUCGGGCUUAGUGAUCCGGUGGUACCUCGUGGGAGGGCCAUCGCUCAACGGAUAAAAGCUACCUCGGGGAUAACAGGCUGAUCUCCCCCAAGAGUCCACAUCGACGGGGAGGUUUGGCACCUCGAUGUCGGCUCGUCGCAUCCUGGGGCUGAAGUAGGUCCCAAGGGUUGGGCUGUUCGCCCAUUAAAGCGGCACGCGAGCUGGGUUCAGAACGUCGUGAGACAGUUCGGUCCCUAUCCGUCGCGGGCGUAGGAAAUUUGAGAGGAGCUGUCCUUAGUACGAGAGGACCGGGAUGGACUGACCUCUGGUGUACCAGUUGUUCCGCCAGGAGCACAGCUGGGUAGCUAAGUCGGGAAUGGAUAAACGCUGAAAGCAUCUAAGCGUGAAGCCAACCU